CCUACGGGUGGCAGCAGUGAGGAAUAUUGGUCAAUGGCCGGAAGGCUGAACCAGCCAAGUCGCGUGAGGGACGACUGCCCUAUGGGUUGUAAACCUCUUUUAUAGGGGAAGAAUAAAUGCUACGUGUAGCAUGAUGCCUGUACCUUAUGAAUAAGCAUCGGCUAACUCCGUGCCAGCAGCCGCGGUAAUACGGAGGAUGCGAGCGUUAUCCGGAUUUAUUGGGUUUAAAGGGUGCGUAGGCGGUUUAUUAAGUUAGUGGUAAAACGGCGGGGCUUCACCUUGAAUUGCCAUUAAUACUGUUAGUCUCGAGUUCAGACGAGGUAGGCGGAAUAAGUGGAGUAGCGGUGAAAUGCUUAGAUAUCACGUAGAACUCCGAUUGCGAAGGCAGCUUACCAGACUGCGACUGACGCUGAGGCACGAAAGCGUGGGUAGCGAACAGGAUUAGAUACCCUGGUAGUC
RNAcentral lists this ribosomal RNA (459 nucleotides) under uncultured bacterium. RNAcentral describes it as "partial 16S ribosomal RNA". It matches the Rfam family "Bacterial small subunit ribosomal RNA", at positions 338 to 795 of the family's 1533-position model. The record is from RNAcentral.